Molecule: small RNA, 835 nt
Filed under: Rattus norvegicus (Norway rat)
Lineage: Eukaryota; Metazoa; Chordata; Mammalia; Rodentia; Muridae
Description: uncharacterized LOC102553299
Source: RNAcentral
UCUACAUGUGGAGCCCAUCCUCCAGAUGAGUGUGACUACUGGCUUGCCCCAUGCCUCUAUAACAGGCUCCUAAGGGAGUCUUCCUGCAGUAUCUCUCUUCAAGAUCAGCUCACCAGACCUUUUGUGAUCACUCAGGGUCAGUGGUCCAAACAAGAACAUGGCCUCCCGUGCGUCUCAGCAGUGGGGAACAGUCUGCAGUUCUCCUGUGCUAUGGCUUCUGUGACAUUUGUCUGAGAGAUGGGAUGAAGAUGCCGGCCCUGAAACCGACUAUAGUCGUGGAGUCCUAAUACUGGCAUGGCAUUCAGGGGCUUGCCAGUACUUCGUUCCUGACCCUCCGUGUCUACAUUCUACCUGAAGCGUCUCCCAGCUCUAACACACGUGGACCCCAUCCUCCAGGCUCAGAUAUGCAGACUAUCGGUCAUGUCAUGGGACAGCUCAGAGAGACACGGGGAUUGAGGAAUUGCAAGAAGCCCCGGCAGGGAAUGCGAACUGCCAGCAUGUGCUGACCAUCUGUGUCCUCGAAACAUUUGAAUGUGCCCCAAGGUUCAUGUCCUGGACAUGUAAUCCCUGCAGGAUUGGUAUCGAGAGGUGGAGCUCUCACAAGGCAGUCAGAUGCUGGGGUUGUAGCUCUAAAGGAGAAUGUUUGCCGAGCGUGUGUGAGACUCUGGGUUCCAUUGCCCGCAUCUCAAAAGAAGAACGAUGAUUAGGGUCACAGGGGCUCUGCCUCCUGAGUGGACCGAUAUCACUUUGAAGGGAUGGGGCUUAUCAUAAAUGCCUGUUGGCCUAGUCAGGUCACUAUGCUGUGACGAAAGACCACAGUCUAAAGCAAGCUGGG